Molecule: ribosomal RNA, 255 nt
Filed under: uncultured bacterium
Lineage: Bacteria
Description: partial 16S ribosomal RNA
Rfam family: Bacterial small subunit ribosomal RNA
Source: RNAcentral
UACGGGGGGAGCAAGCGUUGUUCGGAUUUACUGGGCGUAAAGGGCGCGUAGGCGGCCACCGCAAGUCGACUGUGAAAUCUCCGGGCUUAACCCGGAAAGGUCAGCCGAUACUGCGGGGCUAGAGUGCAGAAGGGGCAACUGGAAUUCUCGGUGUAGCGGUGAAAUGGCGUAGAUAUCGAGAGGAACACCUGCGGCGAAGGCGGGUUGCUGGGCUGACACUGACGCUGAGGCGCGAAAGCUAGGGGAGCGAACGGG